CCCAAAUUAGCUCAUCUGCAAUUCGUUUCCUUUCAAAAAAGAAACUCAAGUGACACAAAACGGGAAAGGGGAGUUUCAUACGUAACCCAUUAACUCAAUUAGGCAGAAAACGAAAGUUAUUUGUUUAAGCCGGAGUCUUCAUAUUCACCAUAUACGGAGGCCGAAAUGAGGCGGCGAAAAUAGGCAGAAAUUUUCGAAGAAGUUGUGGGUUUCUUCCAUCUUUUCCACUCCACCUGGACAGUGCAUAUGUACAUACUAGCCUGCUUUCUUUUUAUGUUUAUAUUUUGUUAUUGAAGAUGCAAAUUUGAAGAAAUCUCUUGUACUUCUGCUGUAGACGAACAUAGGUAUAUUGAUGAUAUAUAUAUUAAAAUUAUAUGUCUUUUGUUAUCUUAUGCCAUGUUUUUAUUGAUUAUUAACUCCAGCGGUAUGGAUUUCAAUUGGAAAUUCCAACGGUAUCUUGUGCCACUUUUAAGAAGAAAUUCCAGCAGUAUGGAUUUCAAUUGGAAGCCACACUUUCAAGGCAUAUGAAAGUCAGCACCACCAAAUAAACCAUUCAAACCACCUCAAAACUUGUCCAAAAUUAAUCAGAUUUUGAAAGUGAAUAAGCCCUUUUUUUUACUCCAAACAGAAGGGGUGGAGAAACAUAUUUACAGAGAAAACAGUAGCAAAAAGUAGUAACAAUAAUCUGGAGGUAGAAAAUUGAAAAUUAAUUUCCCAAUGAUUUGAACCCGUGAUUUCACACGACGUCCCGUUUCACGACAGAGCAGAUGGGGCCCAAAUCACACUGUUGGAAUUGAGCGACUGCCGGAGAUGGAGAUGAGGCGGAAGGCCAGUGCUCGGGAGGAAACGUUUGAAAGAGAAGGGAAAUGGGUUGAAAGGGAAGGGUUGGGUUCCAAAAUCGAUUUGGGGGAAAAGGAGAGAGAGGACGAGAAAUAGGGGAGAGAGAGAAUGAUCCUAGACUUCCAAUUUUUAAUGUUUCUUUGGUGUCUUUUUUUGUUUUUUCAAAAGAUUAUCACGUCACUUUGUCAAUCUUCUUUCUCUAGAACCUUUGUACACAUAGCGCGAUUGUAAUAUACUACAUUCCGUGAUCUACCUUAAAAAAUAGUUUGAUUGACCAUGGACAAUAUAGUUUUGAUGUCUUUUUUGAUGGACAAGGUGCGAAUAGUCUUACUGACCAUGGUUGUUCUCCACGAACAGAGCCAACUUGAAUGAACUUUUUCUCGAUUCAUGCUGCCACCCAAAAUAAUGGAUUUUA
This 1255-nucleotide long non-coding RNA is filed under the name Olea europaea subsp. europaea. Lineage: Eukaryota; Viridiplantae; Streptophyta; Magnoliopsida; Lamiales; Oleaceae. The record is from RNAcentral.